This 1332-nucleotide ribosomal RNA is filed under the name uncultured bacterium. RNAcentral describes it as "bacterial SSU rRNA". It matches the Rfam family "Bacterial small subunit ribosomal RNA", at positions 28 to 1381 of the family's 1533-position model. The record is from RNAcentral.
GACGAACGCUGGCGGCGCGCCUAACACAUGCAAGUCGAACGAGCAAGAGAGAGCUUGCUUUCUCGAGCGAGUGGCGAACGGGUGAGUAACGCGUGAGGAACCUGCCUCAAAGAGGGGGACAACAGUUGGAAACGACUGCUAAUACCGCAUAAGCCCACGGGUCGGCAUCGACCAGAGGGAAAAGGAGCAAUCCGCUUUGAGAUGGCCUCGCGUCCGAUUAGCUAGUUGGUGAGGUAACGGCCCACCAAGGCGACGAUCGGUAGCCGGACUGAGAGGUUGAACGGCCACAUUGGGACUGAGACACGGCCCAGACUCCUACGGGAGGCAGCAGUGGGGAAUAUUGCACAAUGGGGGAAACCCUGAUGCAGCGACGCCGCGUGGAGGAAGAAGGUCUUCGGAUUGUAAACUCCUGUUGUUGGGGAAGAUAAUGACGGUACCCAACAAGGAAGUGACGGCUAACUACGUGCCAGCAGCCGCGGUAAAACGUAGGUCACAAGCGUUGUCCGGAAUUACUGGGCGUAAAGGGAGCGCAGGCGGGAAGACAAGUUGGAAGUGAAAUCUAUGGGCUCAACCCAUAAACUGCUUUCAAAACUGUUUUUCUUGAGUAGUGCAGAGGUAGGCGGAAUUCCCGGUGUAGCGGUGGAAUGCGUAGAUAUCGGGAGGAACACCAGUGGCGAAGGCGGCCUACUGGGCACCAACUGACGCUGAGGCUCGAAAGUGUGGGUAGCAAACAGGAUUAGAUACCCUGGUAGUCCACACCGUAAACGAUGAUUACUAGGUGUUGGAGGAUUGACCCCUUCAGUGCCGCAGUUAACACAAUAAGUAAUCCACCUGGGGAGUACGACCGCAAGGUUGAAACUCAAAGGAAUUGACGGGGGCCCGCACAAGCAGUGGAGUAUGUGGUUUAAUUCGACGCAACGCGAAGAACCUUACCAAGUCUUGACAUCCCUUGACAGGCAUAGAAAUAUGUUUUCUCUUCGGAGCAAGGAGACAGGUGGUGCAUGGUUGUCGUCAGCUCGUGUCGUGAGAUGUUGGGUUAAGUCCCGCAACGAGCGCAACCCUUAUGGUCAGUUACUACGCAAGAGGACUCUGGCCAGACUGCCGUUGACAAAACGGAGGAAGGUGGGGAUGACGUCAAAUCAUCAUGCCCUUUAUGACUUGGGCUACACACGUACUACAAUGGCGUUAAACAAAGAGAAGCAAGACCGCGAGGUGGAGCAAAACUCAGAAACAACGUCCCAGUUCGGACUGCAGGCUGCAACUCGCCUGCACGAAGUCGGAAUUGCUAGUAAUCGUGGAUCAGCAUGCCACGGUGAAUACGUUCCCGGGCCU